GACUCGUUAGCUCAGUUGGUAGAGCACGUCCCUUUUAAGGAUGGGGUCCUGGGUUCGAACCCCAGACGAGUCA
RNAcentral lists this transfer RNA (73 nucleotides) under Flavobacteriales bacterium. RNAcentral's name for it is "tRNA-Lys". It matches the Rfam family "tRNA". From Rfam's summary of the family: Transfer RNA (tRNA) molecules are approximately 80 nucleotides in length. Their secondary structure includes four short double-helical elements and three loops (D, anti-codon, and T loops). Lineage: Bacteria; Pseudomonadati; Bacteroidota; Flavobacteriia; Flavobacteriales. The record is from RNAcentral.